CCCAAUUUACUUACGCUUGAAUAGACAUAAUUUUUAUUUAUAUAGAGGAAUUAUUUGUCAUCAAACACGGGGGAUGCGCCCGCAGCGUGGCUGCCAGAAGAACGUUACCCCACCGUUGGUGACCGUCUCGGCCUGGUAUGAAGACGGCUAGCGAAAUUCCCAUACGUCACAACGGUUUGAUUUUAGUUUUAAAAUGUUUUCCGCCUACCCAAACAGGUUGUCACCCAGUGAUAAGACCGGUUAUGCUACGAAAUUAACCUUGGUGAAUGGGAUACGUCUUUAUUAAUGACUAGACUAAAUGGCCCAGCCUUCAUAUUCACCUGAUCGAUACACCAGGUCUUUAUUCCCGGGAGAACUUGAAAGCGUACACGUCUCUGGAUGCAUACAGCUAUGCUAGUAGCGGUCAUGUCCAGGACAUACUAUUUCAUGAUGACUAAGUUGAAAACUUUGUAGCGCUGAGGACUGGGGUGCUGCCUAGCCAAAGACGGGGCAAUAAUAUGGAGAUGUACAAGGUCUGGGUUAUUGUGAACAAGAGAAACGACUGUAUUCUGACUGCGAACUGCACCUGCAUGGCUGGCUUGGGGUCAUGCUGCAGGCAUGCUGCUGCACUUAUGCUCAAAGUUGAGCUGUGGGUCAGAUAUGGAAAGACCGAGAAGUCUUGUACCUCAGGGACAAACUAGUGGCUCCUCACAUUCAAAAGAGAGGUGAAGCCAGCCAGACUGAGUGAAAUCUGCACCAGAAAGCCAAAGAGGACAGACACCUAACUGCAACCAGCCAGAAAGGCCAAUGUAAAAGAGCUGAGGGAUGAAGACAUAAAGAAAGUGAAACUACUGGAACCUAAGGCAGCUGUGCUCACUAGCCUGGACUGCAGUGGCACAUACAAGCACCUACAGUCUGCUCCCACUGUGAAAGGCCAGAGAUCAAAAAGAUAACCACCUGUGCAAAGUGCAAGAACCAUUUCCUCUACGAAUGUGCAAAAAUCAAAAGAAAUGUUGUAGAUUGGUAUUGUGAACAGUGCAAAAAAUGAGUGAAACAAAUCAUUUAAUGCAGUAAUAAAUUGGCAUUGCCUGUAGUUGUAGCUUACAUUAAAACAAUUGCAUGUUGAAUUAAUCUCAAUAACAUUUUUUAACAAUAAGUGUACAUCUUGCAAAAAAAAAACAUUGCCUCAUGUCACUGCUGCUGUACCUGCACA
This is a long non-coding RNA of Lampris incognitus (smalleye Pacific opah), 1192 nucleotides long. RefSeq lists it as uncharacterized. The record is from RefSeq and is a predicted model, not a curated record. The transcript has 3 exons. Lineage: Eukaryota; Metazoa; Chordata; Actinopteri; Lampriformes; Lampridae.